Molecule: long non-coding RNA, 1535 nt
Organism: Apteryx rowi (Okarito brown kiwi)
Lineage: Eukaryota; Metazoa; Chordata; Aves; Apterygiformes; Apterygidae
Source: Ensembl
GUCUGAAAGAAGAGCAUGUUGUGCUGAUUCUAAAGAAAGAAAAAUACCAUUUGCAUCAUGUUUUGUCCUUCAGCGAUAAAAAGAAAUUUUCAGCAUAGCAAAAGAACAGAUCAAAUGUUAUUCCAGAUUUACAGGAGAAAAGAAAUCACAAGUUACAGAGUUGGAGACCCUACAGAAAACAAAGCAAAGGAGAGGAUAAACACUGAAAAUCCAUGCAAAGAGAGUGGCAAGAAAGAUUCUUAAGUUUAAGCAACCCAGCAUAUUGUCACAGGUUUUGUUAAAAAGAUGUCCUGGCAAGAUCUCCUCCUCCUCUGUCCCAGAUCAUCUAGCUGCAGUUACCAGGCACCAUUGUUUCCUUCUUCAUACGUGUUGAGAGCCAGACUGGAAGUAAUCCAAGCAGCUUCAGUUUUGCCUGAAGUAGCAAAAGAGCGAGGCAAACUUUGCCGUUAUUUUGCCCCUUCAGCGCGGUGCUCAUUACUUCUUCUUCGUGUACUGGGAACAGCGUUUCAAUAAGAGCUCACUGCCUGCACAAAAGGCGAGGUCAGAUCAUGGUGGAAACUGAGAAGUAUUCACGUUCAUACCCGUCUUUGACUCGAGCAGAGCCGCACACGCCCUUGCAGCUCCCUUGAAGACAGAGAGGCCUCGUGCGCACUAAGAAGGUUACUGCUUCCCUGCGGUGGCAAAAUGAUUUCCUGCUGUUCAUCUGCGCCUGAGGGUGGCUGAAUAAUAAUCUGCAAUUAACAAGCGUCAGCUCCUUCACCUUGACCACAGAUACAACCAUUAUUCUUAUUGCCGUUUUUUCAGGACACGUACUAGGUAUUAUUGGUGUAAUUUUUUUAAAGACAGAACCAGAUGUGCAAUAGGGUGCUCAUUAAACAGGGUAACAGGUACACCAACAUGAAGACUUUUCAUAGGCACGUCUCUCCUGCUGUUUUUAACAGAUAGCUAUAGGCAAGAGCUAGUUACCGCUGUGCUUUCUGUUAAUUACAUGCAUUUUUCUUCCUUUGUCUCCUAAUGGAUAAAAAGUAAUUUACAUAUUCCUUUAUAUGAAAUCUUUCUCUCAGUGGAGAUGUUUGUUAGUCUAAUUGAGGUGUCGUUUAUACAAGGUAGUGUCGCUGCUGCUCAGUGACUAUUAUGUGCAUACAUUUCUUUUUGCAGGAUGGUAUAGAGAGCCAAAGAGCAAUGAUGAUUUUCCAAUGUCAAAGGGAAGCCCUCUCUAGGAUGGGAAUUUGUGAAGGUGCUGCCAUUGCUGAUGAGCACAGUAGAGUGAAUCCUUCCCGGAGACGGGAAUUCGACUGGCAGCAUGGUCGUUUCAGUCAGGAACAAGCUCCCRCAUACCAGUAAUGGAUUUCUUUGCCUGUGUAAAAAUUUACUCCUACUAUACUUGUAAGGAUGGUGGCUAAACAGGCAUUGGAAAUAAUACAUUUCCUUUUCACAAUAUGAAUUCGCAGGGGUAGUUGCCAUUUAUCUCUAGUAUGUCAGUGACAUGAGUAGUAGGUUUGCUGAUGGAUUUGUGUGUUUUCUCCUAGCUAGUC